Molecule: ribosomal RNA, 429 nt
Filed under: uncultured bacterium
Lineage: Bacteria
Description: bacterial SSU rRNA
Rfam family: Bacterial small subunit ribosomal RNA
Source: RNAcentral
AUUGAACGCUGGCGGCAUGCCUUACACAUGCAAGUCGAACGGCAGCACGGGAGCAAUCCUGGUGGCGAGUGGCGAACGGGUGAGUAAUAUAUCGGAACGUGCCCAGUCGUGGGGGAUAACGUAGCGAAAGCUACGCUAAUACCGCAUACGAUCUAUGGAUGAAAGCGGGGGAUCGCAAGACCUCGCGCGAUUGGAGCGGCCGAUAUCAGAUUAGGUAGUUGGUGAGGUAAAGGCUCACCAAGCCGACGAUCUGUAGCUGGUCUGAGAGGACGACCAGCCACACUGGGACUGAGACACGGCCCAGACUCCUACGGGAGGCAGCAGUGGGGGAAUUUUUGGACAAUGGGCGCAAGCCUGAUCCAGCAAUGCCGCGUGCAGGAUGAAGGCCUCGGUUGUAACUAGCUUUGUUACGGUAACGAACGGUAGGAG